CCCAGGGGACGUGGAUAACCUCGGGAAACUGAGGAUAAACCGUGAUAGGCCAAGGUUUCUGGAAUGGACCAUGGCUGAAAUCUAUAUGGCCCCUGGAUUGGACUGCGGCCGAUCAGGCUGUUGGUGAGGUAAUGGCCCACCAAACCUGUAACCGGUACGGGCUUUGAGAGAAGGAGCCCGGAGAUGGGCACUGAGACAAGGGCCCAGGCCCUAUGGGGCGCAGCAGGCGCGAAACCUCUGCAAUAGGCGAAAGCCUGACAGGGUUACUCUGAGUGAUGCCCGCUAAGGGCAUCUUUUGGCACCUCUAAAAAUGGUGCAGAAUAAGGGGUGGGCAAGUCUGGUGUCAGCCGCCGCGGUAAUACCAGCACCCCGAGUGGUCGGGACGAUUAUUGGGCCUAAAGCAUCCGUAGCUUGUUCUGCAAGUCCUCCGUUAAAUCCACCUGCUCAACAGAUGGGCUGCGGAGGAUACUACAGGGCUAGGAGGCGGGAGAGGCAAGCGGUACUCAGUGGGUAGGGGUAAAAUCCUCUGAUCCACCGAAGACCACCAGUGGCGAAGGCGGCUUGCCAGAACGCGCUCGACGGUGAGGGAUGAAAGCUGGGGGAGCAAACCGGAUUAGAUACCCNGGGUAGUCCCAGCUGUAAACGAUGCAGACUCGGUGAUGGGUUGG
Molecule: ribosomal RNA, 668 nt
Filed under: uncultured archaeon
Lineage: Archaea
Description: bacterial SSU rRNA
Rfam family: Archaeal small subunit ribosomal RNA
Source: RNAcentral